UGGGGAAUAUUGGACAAUGGGCGAAAGCCUGAUCCAGCAAUGCCGCGUGUGUGAAGAAGGUCUUCGGAUUGUAAAAGCACUUUCGACGGGGACGGAUGAUGACGGUACCCGUAGAAGAAGCCCCGGCUAACUUCGUGCCAG
RNAcentral lists this ribosomal RNA (141 nucleotides) under uncultured bacterium. Its description in RNAcentral is "partial 16S rRNA". It matches the Rfam family "Bacterial small subunit ribosomal RNA", at positions 355 to 511 of the family's 1533-position model. The record is from RNAcentral.